UCACAAUAUCAAGCUUGGCUUGUUGUUGGGCCCUUUGUCACCUGGUGACAGGUCCAAAAGACAAUGACCGGUGUCAUAUCGACUCCAUAUGCAACGAGCUUAUAACAGCACGCAUCUGGUGGUUGUGACCCGCUGGGAGCCUCUGGCACCUUUCUUUCUCAA
Molecule: unclassified non-coding RNA, 162 nt
Filed under: uncultured Chaetothyriales
Lineage: Eukaryota; Fungi; Ascomycota; Eurotiomycetes; Chaetothyriales
Description: sequence contains ITS2
Source: RNAcentral